Molecule: long non-coding RNA, 987 nt
Filed under: Homo sapiens (human)
Lineage: Eukaryota; Metazoa; Chordata; Mammalia; Primates; Hominidae
Description: HSALNT0358331
Source: RNAcentral
GUUCUGUACUAAGAAAAAUUCUUCUGCCUUGGGAUCCUGUUGAUCUGUGACCUUAUCCCCAACCCUGUGCUCUCUGAAACAUGUGCUGUGUCCACUCAGGUUUAAAUGGAUUAAGGGCGGUGCAAGAUGUGCUUUGUUAAACAGAUGCUUGAAGGCAGCAUGCUCGUUAAGAGUCAUCACCACUCCCUAAUCUUAAGUACCCAGGGACACAAACACUGCGGAAGGCCAAGGCCGCAGGGUCCUCUGCCUAGGAAAACCAGAGACCUUUGUUCACUUGUUUAUCUGCUGACCUUCCCUCCACUAUUGUCCUAUGACCCUGCCAAAUCCCCCUCUGCGAGAAACACCCAAGAAUGAUCAAUAAAAAAAAAUAAAUAAAUUAAAAAAAACAAACAAACAAACAAAAAAAGUUAUACUUUUUUUUUUCUGUUUGUCUUCAACUUUAUGGUGUCUUUCCAGAGAGAACAGUUAAAAUUUUUUUUUAAAAAUAAGCAUGUGUUAAAUCUUAUAGUUGAUUAAUUUUUUAAAUGAAGGAAAUGGUAAGAUAUUAUAAGCAGUUGAAAGGAUAAUCCAACAGACAUAUUUAUAUAUCAGAAAUAUUGAAAUGAAAGUGCAAAUGGAAAAAUAACUGGCUUCCUGCACAAUGGAAGAGGAAAAUCAAUGGAACUUUCACUGAAUAUAAUUAAUUUUCAUGUUUAUACAAGAAUUAUUUUGCAUUAAUAUCAGUUAUCUACAACUUACAGAGUUGUAAAGUAGCUCAAAGGCAAUGAUAGAGUUAGAUUUAGAUUACCUGUAAGAGUGUGCACUAAAAAUGCAUAGCUUUUUAUUAGAGACAACAAGUCCUCUUUUCUGCCUAUUCCAAAGUUCCUUACAUUGUCACAUUCUGGUUGAUAGGUUACCUCCAUCUCUGAUUAGUUACUGUAUAUUCGUGAAUCUUUUCCUCAUGAGCUACAGAUUGAGCAUCUCUAUCUUGUACUAUUUUUGCCUCCC